RNAcentral lists this ribosomal RNA (253 nucleotides) under uncultured bacterium. RNAcentral describes it as "partial 16S ribosomal RNA". It matches the Rfam family "Bacterial small subunit ribosomal RNA", at positions 524 to 776 of the family's 1533-position model. The record is from RNAcentral.
UACGUAGGGUGCAAGCGUUAAUCGGAAUUACUGGGCGUAAAGCGUGCGCAGGCGGUUUUGUAAGUCAGAUGUGAAAUCCCCGGGCUUAACCUGGGAACUGCGUUUGAAACUACAAGGCUAGAGUGUGGCAGAGGGGGGUGGAAUUCCACGUGUAGCAGUGAAAUGCGUAGAGAUGUGGAGGAACACCGAUGGCGAAGGCAGCCCCCUGGGUUAACACUGACGCUCAGGCACGAAAGCGUGGGGAGCAAACAGA